RNAcentral lists this ribosomal RNA (406 nucleotides) under uncultured bacterium. RNAcentral describes it as "partial 16S ribosomal RNA". It matches the Rfam family "Bacterial small subunit ribosomal RNA", at positions 29 to 526 of the family's 1533-position model. The record is from RNAcentral.
AUUGAACGCUGGCGGCAGGCCUAACACAUGCAAGUCGAGCGAGCGGCGGACGGGGGAGCAAUGUCUGGGAAACAGCCUGAUGGAGGGGGAUAACUACUGGAAACGGUAGCUAAUACAGCAUACCAUCAGAGGUGCCCAGAUGGGAUUAGCUAGUAGGUGGGGGAGUGGCUCACCUAGGCGACGAUCCCUAGCUGGUCUGAGAGGAUGACCCACCACACUGUAACUGAGACACGGUCCAGACUCCUACGGGAGGCAGCAGUGGGGAAUAUUGCACAAUGGGGGCAAGCCUGAUGCAGCCAUGCCGCGUGUGUGAAGAAGGCCUUCGGGUUGUAAAGCACUUUCAGCGGGGAGGCGUUACCCGCAGAAGAAGCACCGGCUAACUCCGUGCCAGCAGCCGCGGUAAUAC